UACGAAGGGGCUAGCGUUGCUCGGAAUCACUGGGCGUAAAGCGCACGUAGGCGGAUUGCUAAGUCAGGGGUGAAAUCCCGGAGCUCAACUCCGGAACUGCCUUUGAUACUGGCGAUCUUGAGUCCGGGAGAGGUGAGUGGAACUGCGAGUGUAGAGGUGAAAUUCGUAGAUAUUCGCAAGAACACCAGUGGCGAAGGCGGCUCACUGGCCCGGUACUGACGCUGACGGUGCGAAAG
Molecule: ribosomal RNA, 236 nt
Filed under: uncultured bacterium
Lineage: Bacteria
Description: partial 16S ribosomal RNA
Rfam family: Bacterial small subunit ribosomal RNA
Source: RNAcentral